GCGGGUAUAGCUCAGUGGCAGAGCAUGUGCUUAGCAUGCAUGGUGUGCUGGGUUCAAUCCCCAGUCCCACCA
This 72-nucleotide transfer RNA is filed under the name Camelus ferus (Wild Bactrian camel). It matches the Rfam family "tRNA". Rfam says of the family: Transfer RNA (tRNA) molecules are approximately 80 nucleotides in length. Their secondary structure includes four short double-helical elements and three loops (D, anti-codon, and T loops). Lineage: Eukaryota; Metazoa; Chordata; Mammalia; Artiodactyla; Camelidae. The record is from Rfam by way of RNAcentral.